Molecule: long non-coding RNA, 473 nt
Filed under: Bos taurus (domestic cattle)
Lineage: Eukaryota; Metazoa; Chordata; Mammalia; Artiodactyla; Bovidae
Description: long non-coding RNA NONBTAT005658
Source: RNAcentral
UUAAUUAUAUAUGAUUAUAUCAUAUAGCUCUCAAAAUAGGAAACUGCUUCUCAGGCCAGUAGAGUAAAAUACAGAAAAGAGCUGUUAGAGACUAAACUUCGUAUUAGUGAGGUAGCAGCCAUGAUAAUAUGUAAGAUACUAUUUUUGAGAUCAUUAUAAGAUUGAUCAUUCUCAACGUCUAAUUGAUUCCUUAAGAAUAGUUGAAACCUUUCUCAAAACCAUGUUAAUAUCUUAUAAUUAUGCCUUAUAAUUAUACUGUUCCAUCCAUGACACAGCUGCUUAUCACGUCCCGCUCUUUGCUCUCUGUAUCAUCAGUGCAUUAUGAGUUUCCCAUUAGGGUCUGAUCACUGGCCCCUUAAGGAUGUUUUCUAGGGCUAGGGGUGCCACUUUACAAAGAAUCAGCUGUUCAAUAUUCACUUUUCUAGUGUGUUUCCAGAAUCUGGAAGGAGGUGAAUAAGCCAUUCUUAAUUAAU